RNAcentral lists this ribosomal RNA (529 nucleotides) under uncultured bacterium. RNAcentral's name for it is "bacterial SSU rRNA". It matches the Rfam family "Bacterial small subunit ribosomal RNA", at positions 338 to 883 of the family's 1533-position model. The record is from RNAcentral.
CCUACGGGAGGCAGCAGUGGGGAAUAUUGCGCAAUGGAGGAAACUCUGACGCAGCAACGCCGCGUGAAGGAAGAAGGUCUUCGAAUUGUAAACUUCUUUGAUUGGGGACGAACAAAUGACGGUACCCAAAAAACAAGCCACGGCUAAUUACGUGCCAGCAGCCGCGGUAAUACGUAGGUGGCGAGCGUUGUCCGGAAUUACUGGGUGUAAAGGGCGUGCAGGCGGGAGCAUAAGUCAGAUGUGAAAUUCCUAGGCUUAACUUGGGCGCUGCAUCUGAAACUAUGUUUCUUGAGUGCUGGAGAGGAAAGCGGAAUUCCCAGUGUAGCGGUGAAAUGCGUAGAUAUUGGGAGGAACACCAGUGGCGAAGGCGGCUUUCUGGACAGCAACUGACGCUGAGGCGCGAAAGCGUGGGGAGCAAACAGGAUUAGAUACCCUGGUAGUCCACGCCGUAAACGAUGGAUACUAGGUGUAGGAGGUAUCGACUCCUUCUGUGCCGGAGUUAACACAAUAAGUUCCCACCUGGGAGAAC